CGUUUUGACAUACAAGCUCUAUUUGUGUUGUUUACUUAAAAUCUUCAUCUCGGUAAAAAAAAAAUCAAUUUAAAUCGCUAACAUUUUCGCACAUUUAUUUUUUACUACUUUUGACUUGGAUUAAGAGUGCUUUGUUGAACUUAAAUAAAUUUUUGACGGAGAAGCUCCAUCCAGGACCAGUGUUUAUCGAUUGUAUUGUACAUUUGAUCGAGGUUGACGAUCCCUAAAAGACGAAAUUCGUGAAGGUCGUUCAAAAUGAAUUGUUGUUUCGGAAGUUAUUUAUGCUGUGCGCAAACUGAUACUGCAAGAUUGUCAUGUGACCUAUCGUGAGAUUGAGAUAACUAUAGAAAUAAGUGGGACCAGCAUAAAUUCAAUAUUGCAUGCAGAUUUGACUAUAAAAUAAAUUUGUUCACGUUGGAUUCCACACUAUUUGUCAUUAUACAUGAAUCGUAGAUUUACGCGUAUGAGCCCCAAAGUUAACAGCAGUCGACUGUAUGGCUGUUUCAAGAAGAGCCGAGUGCAACAGAAGUUGUUCGCGCACGAAGUACUUCCAGUAAAUGGUUUGCCUGUUUUUUUUUUUUUUUGGAAAAACUGGGCAUGGCUCAAUCAUACUACUAGAACAACGCUGAACAGUAAAUUCUGAGUGGUAGUCAACCAUUUGUUUGCCAGUUGUCAUUCAAGAAAUCACGAAAACCAACAACCGAAGACUGAUAAAGACUUCACCACGACAAUGCGAGCUCUCACACAUUGACUAAAAGAACUGCAUUUUUGAUCACUCAAAACAUUGAUUUGAUUUGAUGAGUCAUCCACCAUAUAGUCCUGACUUCGCACCAAAUGACAUCCUUUUAUUUCGUAAAAAAUAAACUAAGAGGUCAACGUUUUUCCAUACCCGAAGAGGCGAUUAAUAUACGUUCAGAACGCAUUAAUUGCUCAGAAAUGAGAGAAUUGAAUCUCUGUGGUAGAUAAAAAUGUCGAAAAAAAUGUGCUUAUUGCUGUAUUUUUUACUCAUCUAAAUACCUCGCGCGUUCUGCGUUAAAAUCUGAAAAACUCGUAAAACACGCACCUGAAAUGAAUACAAUGAAUGACUUCCGUGAAGACAGUGGCUGGGUAUACAUAUGAGAGUAUAUCUAUGUGGUUCAACAAGCGAAAUAAAUCAGAAUCAUAAAAUUUGCAUGCUACUUCAAUUACCUUGUACUUGUGAAAAAAGAACAAGAUAUGCGGGUUACAGGUUUGCGGGUGUCACGUGUUAUAUACGCAUUUGCAUUUACCAAAAAUUUUUGCCAAUCAUUCAGUCACGUUAAGCAACACACAGACUCACCUUGGCGAUAUUUUGCUGCCAUCGCCGCCGCCGCUGUUAUUGUUCGAUGACGAGUUGGCUUUGUAGCCGAACUUCUGUAUGCGCUUGGAGAGGCGUGUCACCCACAGAUGCUGCUCGUCAGGCGUGCCGGCCAGCAGCAGCAUUUCUUUGGCAGUAUGGGGAUCGUGAUGCAGCUUGCACGGCACCAGCAGAUCGUUAUUGUCUACAUGCUCCUUGUGGAUUUUAUUGCGGCAACUGAAAUAAAAAAGAUUUGUAAAAUAAAUAUUAGAUAAAGAUAUAUUGCAUUAUCGUCAGUAGUUUCGUAAUCGAAAACAAAAACAAAAAAUUUAAAUAAAAAAUAUGGUUAUUAUGGCGAAAAAAUAAA
Bactrocera oleae (olive fruit fly) is the source of this 1682-nucleotide long non-coding RNA. RefSeq lists it as uncharacterized. The record is from RefSeq and is a predicted model, not a curated record. Lineage: Eukaryota; Metazoa; Arthropoda; Insecta; Diptera; Tephritidae.